This 4945-nucleotide long non-coding RNA is filed under the name Canis lupus familiaris (dog). RNAcentral describes it as "lncRNA (ENSCAFG00000054996.1)". Lineage: Eukaryota; Metazoa; Chordata; Mammalia; Carnivora; Canidae. The record is from RNAcentral.
UUUUUUUUUUUAUCAGUAUAAUAGAGAUAAUUCCUACUUUAUUUUUUUUUAAGAUUUUACUUAUUUAUUUGGGAGCGAGAGAGCAUGAGUUGGGAGAGAGGCAGAGGGAAAGAGAGAGAAGCAGACUCCCCUGCUGAGCAGGAGCCCAAUGUGGGACUCCAUCCCAGGACCCCGGGAUCAUGACCUGAGCCAAAUGCAGAUGCUUCACAGCCUGAGCCACACAGGUAUCCCAAUUAUUCCUACUUUAUAAAGUUAAAUUAAAUGAAUAAUAAAGGCAGAGUGGUAGCACAGUAAAUAUUAUUCAACACUAGGCAUUUAAAAUACAUUUCACUUAACUACUACUACCACCUGCCCUGUGAUGCAGGCAUCGUCAUUCCCACUGGAUAUCAGAAGACUGAGAAUCGACAAGGACAAGAAACCUGUACAAAGUCACACCAUUAUUAAGAUUUAAAAUCCAGUUUUCUCCAAAGCCCGUGAUGUUUAUUCUUACACCAAUGAGCCUGACUGGGGGUACUAGCAGUGGAGGUGGAGUUAAAAACUAUCCUGCAGAGGCAACAGCAGAGAAAGAUGAUGAUUAUUUUUAUUUAAUCGUGGAGGGACAUGUGCCGAAUACAGAUUCUGGUUUCCAAGUGCCCAGAAUCUCAGAUGAAGUGUUCCGAGAGCACAGGGAUUGGAGGAAGGAGGGGCAAAGGAUAGAUGAUAUAUGAAGUCCAGUGGAUUAAUCAUGUUCACCAGUUCUUGUCAUCCUUUUUCAUGCUGCAAGGCUGCAUCGGCAUUUUUUUUUAAUAGGCCACAGACAUUCACAAUCAAAAUUUCAAGCUAAAAAUACCUCCAUGCCAUCCUGGAAAAUAUUAAACAAAACAAAACAAAACACCUGAGUGCUUUCCAGCCAACAAAGAGAGAAAUGUGUAGGCUGUGAUGAGUAAUUGAACCUACUUUUGUCUGUUUGCAAUAAACAUUUGCAAAACAUAUUAUCCUUUUGACAUUUCUGUGAGGAUUGCUCAUAUUCUAUUUUCUGCAAAAUGCCUUCCAUUCUUACUAGGUUCCCAUAAUUACCUCUUUAGAGGAAGACCAUCUCAGCCCUUCAGAGACAUCAUCAAUUUCCAGCAGCUGAUUCCUAAUUUUUUUGAUGUUGCUGUUAUACUGAGCUAUCUCUUGAGGGUGGAGAACCAAUACCACUAUAGAUAGAUAUGGAUCUAUCCAUAUCUAUAUCCAUAUCCAUCUAUCUAUAGAUGGAUAUGGAUAUCUUGAGAGCUAGCCAGAAAAGUGAUGGGAUGGAAAAGCUAGUGGCAGUUUGAUGAUAUUCCUUCUGCAUUUGUCAAAUCCCAUGGUCCCUGCAUGGCCCAGCAGCAGUAAGGGAACUACAGUGCUUGGGUUCUGAUCCCUGUAAUUUUCAAGCUGUGUGGCCUUAAGAAAAUUGCUUGAACAUUCUGUGUCUAAGUUUCCUUAUCUAUAACACUGGUAUAAAAAUAGUAUUUAUAUCACAGAGUUAUAAGGAUCAAGGAAGUUAAUGUGUAUAAAGAGCUUAAAUAUGUGCAUCUUAUAGUAUGUCCUCAAUAAAUGGUAAUUAUUUAAAAAAAUAAAUAAAUGGUAAUUAUGAUUGUAGUCAUGCUUACUUGGCAUGAAAAAUGAAAGCCUGGCAGUGAGAAGAUGUUGUCUUAUUGAGUGUGGAAUCUCCUUGAUUUCAUUGGCAAAGCAGACCUACACAGCAUUCACAUUAUACUGCAGAUUAUUAUAGGGCGCAAUAAUGAGUCUGUAGUGGUUUUUUUUUUCUUUAAAUUAUAAUGGGAAACCACUGGGGUUCUUUUAGCAGGGGAGUUUAAACGAUCAGAUUAGCAUUUUACAAAGUUAUUCCAACUAUUCUUUGGGUAGUAGAUUGGACAAACGUGAUGCUAAGAAAUCAGGUAGGUGAGGCAUUUACAAGGGUAUUGACCAUGGUGGUCAGGGAGGAGAUGGAGCAAAGUGGACUCAACAUAUGGACUGCAUGCAACUCCCAGGACUCGGUCAUAGAGGGGGGAAUGUGAAGGAUGGUGCCAAGAUAUCAGACCAACUGCGCAGAAGAGCAACUCAUUGAAAGAGAUGCAGGUAUCUAUGAAUACUCUGGAGCAAAGGCAGAAAAAAACAACCAAAAGGAAUAGAAAUGUCUAUACAUAAAAGGAGAGAGAAGGAAAUAGAUAGGAAAGAUUUGUGGAGAACCUACACUCUCCACGGGGUGCUGCAGAGCUGUGCUGUAUGCUGGUGGGGUGGCAGGCUCAUGGCCUGCCAGAAGAGGACACUGCCAUGUUUGAGGACCACCAUGCUGCUCGGUUCUGCACAGGAAUGUGACAGCUUUGAAUUAGUGCUUAGUUUAUUUAUGCCGGUGUGGCCCUGCCAUCAAAAUACAGGGUAAUGCCCUCUGGCACAGAAAUGAUUUCUUUUGUAUUCCCAGGUAUAUUUAGCACAGUUCCACGUAUAUAAUGGAAUUCUUGGCAAAUACUCCUUGAAUUUAGAAAGUUGUUGAUUAAAAGGUAAAACAUUUAUUAAUCAGCAACAUUUUUGAGAGCCUGCUUUAGGCUUUGGGAAGAUAGAAGAUGAUUGAGAGAUGGACACUGAUCUUCCCUACCCACCUUUCCUUUCCCUUUCUCUUCUCCCCUACCUCCUUCUGCUUCUACUUGUCUAUCUAAUAUAUACAUACACACAUGCACAAGUAUGCACACACACACAUAUACACCCCACAUAUGAUGCCAAAAAGGGGAAUCAGCAACUGGGAGUCCAGCACUGGAUCUUUGUACAGAUAAAAUCUGGGCCUGCAUGAUGUGUCUCUCAUCCUCCAUAGACUGGCCGACUCACCAUGGCAUGUCCUCUUAAUGGUAAAGUACAAGAAAGCAAGCCCAGCUCUGUGAUCCAGUUUGAAGCCUCUGUCUGCACCACACCUGCCUACGUCUCAUUGGCCAAAACACAUCACAAGGUAGAAUCCAAAGCCAAGGUGCAGGCAUGUAAAAUCUGCCUCCAGCAGAAGCUGCAAAAUUCCGUAGCUAAAUGGUAUAUGUACCUGGACAGAUCUAGAAUCACAGUUAUCUUGGACAAGUCCUUUCCAUUCUCCAGGAGUCCUCACCUCUGCAAACAGCUUGGAUCAGAUCCAUGUGUCCUACAGAGUGAAAUCCAGCCCUCCAGUAGCACACGAAAUGAAUUGACAUGGCACACGAAAUUUAAUCAAUUCUUUGAUGUGAUAUUAACUAACAUUGAGCACAGAAGGUGAUGAGGAUUCACUUUUGAAUUUUCUUUCAAUAUUGCCAACUGCAUCAAGGAGAAAGUCUGAGUUAGUGCCCACGACAAGCCCAAAACCUUUGCUGACUUCUCCUUUUAACACUGAGCUAGCAGACCACAGCAUUGAGCAAGAAUUUCCAAAAAGUGCUUUAUUUUCAUUUUAUUUAUUUUUGACUACAGUAUAUUUAUAACAAGUGGCACCAGAUUUAUUUAGUUAUGUAAAGUUUCUUUAAAAAUAUAUUUAAAUAAAAAUGGAGUCUAUUUAAAGAAAAUAUAAAGAAAAUUAUUGGUGACCUGCAGAUAGAAAAAAAUCAUGGCUAUGGGCUUGAAUAACUGAAGUUUGGGAGAUUCUGGAUUUGACCAUCUUUACGGUUCUGAGAUCCUGUGAUCACUGCCAACUUCAUUGCUCCAGUUGUGGUCUCCACUUCCACCCCAAGGCUUUCUUAGAGGGAGACGAACAGCCUUCUCUUCGACGGCUUCUACGACCUUUCAUUUCCUCCUCCCCUCUGAAGUUGACAGCCCAGCUGUCAAUAUGACUACCCAGCCAGAUGUAUUUGAUUGACAUGCUCAUCCCUGCACAAUGGGCCAGAGUCAGUCACCCUGUGGCUGUCCCUGCCCUUGGCAUUGUGAUGCAUGGUCCCAGAUUCCAAAUGUCAUGUCACAUCUCCUCAUGGUAUCAAAGCACCCUGGAGAGCAGGAAACCCUAACAGAUGGCUGAAAUGCCUUCAAAAAGACUCCCCCAGACAGCCUGGGAGAUGCACAGAGCCCUGUCGGUGGUGAUGGGUUGCAACAUAUGCUCGGCAAAAAAAAUGCCAAAGGGAAGAGAGGUUCCCGCACCCACCGAGACCACAGAAUACUGGUUCUGCCUUAGAACAGAAUGCUGGGUAUCAGCUGCCUUAGAAAGAGUGCCAUUUACUUUUGCAAAGUAUCUGUUAAAUCCCUGAUCUCAAUGCUUAGUUCUUAGACUUUUAAAGGUAGUGAUGGUAAACUUUUUAUUUACAUUGAAUAUUUCAUUACAAAGCAGAUGAAUGGGGGAAAGGUCAUUUUCUCUCAAUAGUGGACUGUCACUCCCUCUGGUCCAGGAAUUCCUAACCUGCAUUUUCUGGAUCCUUUAGAAGCAUACAGCUAGUCCUAAAGAGGCCUGUGAACCUUCCAAAAUUGCCUGUGAAUGUUUGCAUGUGUGUAUACAUACAAGUUACUGUGGAGAAAGGGUCUAAAGCUUUAGUUCAGAUUUUCAAAAUGGUCCAUGUCUCAUUAGAAACCACAAUUCUAACAGUGCUCCUUAGAGAGAAUGCAUGGGGCAAAAAACAUCAAAACAAAACAAAACAAAAUUAAACUGGGCAGCAAUAUAAGGUAACAAGGAUUUUCCUCUCAUAGUAAUAUUAAGGAUAACAUUUGCUAUUUACCAUCAUCAUAAUUUGAAAAGGGUUAUUUCAGUGUAGCUGGACAUGAAAAAACAUUUCAGGAAGGCCAUAAGCUUAGAUUAAAAACAUAUGGGAUCCCUGGGUGGCGCAGCGGUUUGGCGCCUGCCUUUGGCCCAGGGCGCGAUCCUGGAGACCCGGGAUCGAAUCCCACGUCGGGCUCCCGGUGCAUGGAGCCUGCUUCUCCCUCUGCCUGUGUCUCUGCCUCUCUCUCUCUCUCUGUGACUAUCAUAAAUAAAUAAAAAUUUAAAAAAAAAAAAAAAUAAAAAAAAUAAAAA